Molecule: long non-coding RNA, 2355 nt
Organism: Megalobrama amblycephala (Wuchang bream)
Lineage: Eukaryota; Metazoa; Chordata; Actinopteri; Cypriniformes; Xenocyprididae
Exons: 3
Source: RefSeq, a predicted model, not a curated record
UUGUUGUUGUUGUUGUUGUUGUUGUUGUUGUUGUUGUAUAUCCAUCCGAGUAAAAUACAAGUAUUGAUUGGAUUGUUGUCGUUUGCUAAUUACUGCGAUCUCAUUUGAGUGACAGAUUGCUGGAGGAGAGGGAUUGUUUUCCUGCUCUUGUGCCGGAACACGUCAUCAGAGAAGAGAUGUUGCGAGGGGGAGUGGAAGUUCAUGUUUUUGAAUAAAUAUUAGGAGCGCACAUGAAUUAAAAAAAAAGUGUGGCGUGUGUUAUCACCAGAGCAUGUUGAAAUAAUGCAGAUGGCUAAUUUGUGGUAAUCCCCAGUCCAAAUGAACAGCGAUGGGGAGCUUAGUGUGGUACGUGCGGCACGCCUGUGGAAAAUGGGCAAAGACACAUUCUUUCUGUUGUGAUGUACUCGCCAUCCAGAGGCCAUUGGAUUACUGCUUGCUGUUUGUCCCUUGUGGUGCCGUUUCAGCAGUGUAGGUUCUUUGAAUACACAAGAAGCGCUUACAAUUUGGAUGCGCAAGCGGUUGCAGUGGUGACAAGUUGACGACAUGAUACCUGCGAGUGAAAAUGUCCUACAUCUGAAAGAAAUAAAAAUAAGGAAAAUCAGCAACAGCACGUGUUAUGGUUUUCUACAUGUUUUAGAUCACACAUGCUCAGUUGUUUCUGUGAAGGACCCAAGUAGAGGACAUGCUUUUCCUCGAUCUUUUCGCCCUGGUACUCUUGACACCAUUGCACGUGUCCUUCAUAUUGGAUUUAACUAAUGUUUUAAGGAAUCCAUUAAACUAUCCAUUAAUUUUCCUUUAUUCAGUUUCAUUUUAAUUUAGUUGAAAUUAAUUCAUUAAAAAUUUAGAAGCAAACUGUUGGCGUUAUGUAAGCGAUUAAGCUGCAAAAAUUAACUCAGCAGAAUAAUCAGAAUAAAUCAUGCCUGUUUGAAAAUUGAUAUUGAAGUCUAUAAUGUACUCAUUUUUUUUUUAGCGCAAUCAAUCAAUAUUCGGAUGAUUUAAUGCAACAAUCAGCAGAUUUUAUUCAAUAUUUAGCUUUUACAUUUCCAUUUUAUGUUGGGUGAUUUCUAACAAUACCAUAAAUACAAAGUGCUAACAAAUUUUGAAGAAAAAUCUCUGUAAGCCUAUCACGAUUAUGAAUUUUGUACUGACAAUUAAUUGUCAUAAAUAUUUGUAAUUAAGUUUUAUUCUUGUUUGUUCCUGUCACAGUGUAAGGUUUUUUUUUUUUUUUACUUGGAAUUCUAUAAUAAAGAUUAUAAUAAAAAUAUCCCUAUAUGUUUUUUCUUAAAUGCUGUGAUAAUUACUAUUUAUAUUAGGUAUUUAUAAUAUAAUAUAACCACAAUAUAAUAUCCCUUAUUUGAAUGGAAAAACGUGAUUUGAAAUCAAAAAAAGAUUCAUAAGCUUUCAAUUUCUGUUUAAAAUGAUCUGAUUUGUAGGCUAUGUACUAUAUUGCAUGAAUAUGCAAUAUAGUACAUAUAGUUAGCAAAAUGAUCUUCUAGAGUUAAGUUUUCUAGCUGACUAACGAGUUUAUGGUCGUUAAAUGGCUUUUCUGAGGUAAACAAAAUUGUGACAUUUGUUUACAAGCAGUUUUAUUGACUACUUUCAAUGGUUGAAACAGAUUGAGCAGUUACAUGUGACAUGAUAUGGUUUUCAGUAAGUUGUACUGUAUCUUACAACAUGCCUUCAGAUGUUCAUUCAUCGUUAUUUUGUGCUAUAACUAGUAGUAAAGAGGAAGAGAUGAUCAGAGAGAUGCUUCCCUUUAACCGAGGCGCUACAGUAAUCUGUCGUGCAACAUUAAAGAGCGCCAAAACUGUAUUUAUUUUUUGAAUUUCAUUGUAAGAAAGCUGAGACUGUUUCAUAUCAGAAGUAACAGCACAAUGCUUAUUGUGACUUAUUGGAUGGGAGGUACGUUACAAAGUUUUGUUCGUUCAUCAGCUGAAAACCGCAUGGACUGAAAGAUUAAUAUUGGUUCUUCAUUAAAAUGGAGAAAUUGAUCAUUUUUAACCCAGCCCUAUUAAUCAAUUGUGGCAGGUUUAUAUCUGUCAUAUUUACUUGGUGAUAGGGAAGAAUGAUUGCUUAUGUGUCUAAUUUAUCUAGAUUCCUUUUUUGUUCCUCCUAGGAAAGGAUAAAUGCUCCCGUUAUUAAAACAUCACUUUUGUAACAAUUUCAAUACAUUUUCAAGCAGUUUCUGCCAGGCUUAAAAUGGUCUGCUAUGAGGAGGAGACAUGUUAAGUCUUAGUUUUUGUGAGGACUGUGAUUGACCUAAAUGUGUAUUAUUAUUAUUAGGGCUGCACGAUAUAUCGCAUGAGAUUGUCACGCGCAUUUCGUCAGUAAAGCCGGUUCCCUGAUUACCGCUAA